Molecule: long non-coding RNA, 487 nt
Organism: Quercus lobata
Lineage: Eukaryota; Viridiplantae; Streptophyta; Magnoliopsida; Fagales; Fagaceae
Exons: 2
Source: RefSeq, a predicted model, not a curated record
UGUUCUUUUCUUUCUUUUCUUUUCUCUCAUACACUCCUCUCUAUCACCUGCUCAUUCUCUCUCACUGGUACCUCCAUACCACCAUCUCCACCAUCAAUUUAUUUAUUUAUUUUUUUUCGGGCAAUGUCACCGGAAAAUCCUUAGGAACCUCUAAGCAUCUUCACCUUUUAUUUGAGUUUUUCAGAUUUAUUAGCUAUACCUUGGGUAUGGAGCUUACUUCUUUGGUGAUGAUUAGAGUGCUAUAUAAAUUGGGGGACUGUUGCUGUAAAUGGUUGGUGAUUCGAUCUUGCUAUGUUCAACGAGACCUUAAUUAAUUCUAUUGGAGGUGGGUCGCUUGAGGUUUGUUAGCCUUUGGCAUGGUAGGCCUAGACUUGAUGUUAAGUUCCUUAAUCUUGAUAAGAUUGUGACUUUGUGUAAUUUAAUCAGAGUUUUGUAAUAUAUUCAUGUAUUAUGUGAAGGCACAUGAUUUUUAGUUAUUGUUCGUAAA